UACGUAGGGAGCGAGCGUUGUCCGGAUUCAUUGGGCGUAAAGAGCUCGUAGGCGGCUUGGCAAGUCGGGUGUGAAAACUCCAGGCUCAACCUGGAGACGCCACCUGAUACUGCCAUGGCUAGAGUCCGGUAGGGGACCACGGAAUUCCCGGUGUAGCGGUGAAAUGCGCAGAUAUCAGGAGGAACACCGGUGGCGAAGGCGGUGGUCUGGGCCGGUACUGACGCUGAGGAGCGAAAGCGUGGGGAGCGAACAGG
This 254-nucleotide ribosomal RNA is filed under the name uncultured bacterium. RNAcentral's name for it is "partial 16S ribosomal RNA". It matches the Rfam family "Bacterial small subunit ribosomal RNA", at positions 524 to 776 of the family's 1533-position model. The record is from RNAcentral.